UGGGUGGCGAGUGGCGGACGGGUGAGGAAUACAUCGGAAUCUACUUUUUCGUGGGGGAUAACGUAGGGAAACUUACGCUAAUACCGCAUACGACCUACGGGUGAAAGCAGGGGAUCUUCGGACCUUGCGCGAUUGAAUGAGCCGAUGUCGGAUUAGCUAGUUGGCGGGGUAAAGGCCCACCAAGGCGACGAUCCGUAGCUGGUCUGAGAGGAUGAUCAGCCACACUGGAACUGAGACACGGUCCAGACUCCUACGGGAGGCAGCAGUGGGGAAUAUUGGACAAUGGGCGCAAGCCUGAUCCAGCCAUACCGCGUGGGUGAAGAAGGCCUUCGGGUUGUAAAGCCCUUUUGUUGGGAAAGAAAUCCAGCCGGUUAAUACCUGGUUGGGAUGACGGUACCCAAAGAAUAAGCACCGGCUAACUUCGUGCCAGCAGCCGUGGUAAUACGAAGGGUGCAAGCGUUACUCGGAAUUACUGGGCGUAAAGCGUGCGUAGGUGGUUGUUUAAGUCUGUUGUGAAAGCCCUGGGCUCAACCUGGGAACUGCAGUGGAAACUGGAUAACUAGAGUGUGGUAGAGGGUAGCGGAAUUCCCGGU
Molecule: ribosomal RNA, 593 nt
Filed under: uncultured Stenotrophomonas sp.
Lineage: Bacteria; Pseudomonadati; Pseudomonadota; Gammaproteobacteria; Lysobacterales; Lysobacteraceae
Description: bacterial SSU rRNA
Rfam family: Bacterial small subunit ribosomal RNA
Source: RNAcentral